AGUGGCGGACGGGUGAGUAACGCGUGGGUAACCUGCCUCAUACAGGGGGAUAACAGUUAGAAAUGACUGCUAAUACCGCAUAAGACCACAGCACCGCAUGGUGCAGGGGUAAAAACUCCGGUGGUAUAAGAUGGACCCGCGUCUGAUUAGGUAGUUGGUGGGGUAACGGCCUACCAAGCCGACGAUCAGUAGCCGACCUGAGAGGGUGACCGGCCACAUUGGGACUGAGACACGGCCCAA
This 240-nucleotide ribosomal RNA is filed under the name uncultured bacterium. RNAcentral's name for it is "partial 16S ribosomal RNA". It matches the Rfam family "Bacterial small subunit ribosomal RNA", at positions 94 to 334 of the family's 1533-position model. The record is from RNAcentral.